Molecule: long non-coding RNA, 1093 nt
Organism: Arvicola amphibius (Eurasian water vole)
Lineage: Eukaryota; Metazoa; Chordata; Mammalia; Rodentia; Cricetidae
Exons: 5
Source: RefSeq, a predicted model, not a curated record
GGCAAGUCAGCUCAGAGGUUCAUGCUUUCUCUUCUCUCGAUGGAUAUUUAUCCAUGGGAGUAGCUUCAGCUUCUCCUCAGGGAGUUGACUACAGUGGUUAUGUAGGGUUUGGCACUGUGAGCACAGUGGGCAGAGGACCAGUGGACCCUGCCUCAAGGUGCAGGAUCACAAGGUCUCUACCUCUCUUCUGUGUGUCACGUAUGAUGACGUGAAAGAGAAACCAUGGUGCCAACUGGGUCUGAGCUUCUUACUUCAGGCUGAGUGAGGCCCUGAGAGUCCCUGGCCCCUCAGCCACGUGAGCACGUGUGUCCUGUAGAUCAGUGUGACUUCCAUGGGCACUGGGGUCUUGGAGUUCAUGUCAGCUGCACAGAUGUGCCAUGUCUACAACAGGAAGGUGGAACUGAGUCCCGGGCUGUCAUUGGCCAGCAGUGUUCCCAGAUUCACAAUUCUCUGUAUACCUGUCAACAGAUGAUUAAUCAUUGUCACUUGGACUCCACUGGAAGAGGACAAAUGGAACCUGGGACAAGUGCUUGAGACCCAUGAGCCUGUGAGCAGGCAAUGUCUGAGACUUGGGACAUGUUGAUAGCCGUGUCUCCACAUAGCUGGGGCACCAUUUGUACCAGCAAUGGGGUUUAGGAGAGUGGCCUCGGAUUGCCUGAGUCAGACUUGGAUUGUGUGAAGACUAAGAUCAGCAAUGCCAUGUUUUCUCCUGCAUCCCUUCACUGCAGCAAGCUGAGCUGGGAGGACAGCAGCUUUUCUAGCAGUGAGAGACCCCUUAACCAUGUGUGACACUUCAGGAUCCUGGGGAUCGACACCAACAUCUGUUCCCAAAACAAGAAUUGUGCUGAAUCCCACAAGUCAUUCACACUUCCUCACAGCAACUGCAGAGUUCUGUGGUUUGUUCCCAAUCCAGCAGAGGAUGGGCGGGUCUUUCAGUGUGAUCUAGGGUCAAUCACUGGACACCAGCACAACAACUGCUCUUCCUAUUUUGUCUCGAUGCUUCCCCCUCUCAUCCUCCUUCUCAUUCCCUCUUCUAUCUCUUCAUCACCUUCUGACCUCCUCCUCCUGCUACCUUUUUUUGUUAGAGAGAGAG